AACGAACGCUGGCGGCGCGCCUAAUACAUGCAAGUCGAGCGAGAAGGUGUAGCAAUACACUUGUAAAGCGGCGAACGGGUGAGGAAUACAUGGGUAAUCUACCAUCGAGUGGGGAAUAACCAACCGAAAGGUUGGCUAAUACCGCGUACGCCUCCGAGUCUUCGGGUUCGGAGGGAAAGCUGCACUGUGAGUGUAGCGCUCUUUGAUGAGCUCAUGUCCUAUCAGCUUGUUGGUAGGGUAACGGCCUACCAAGGCUUUGACGGGUAGCUGGUCUGAGAGGACGAUCAGCCACACUGGCACUGCGACACGGGCCAGACUCCUACGGGAGGCAGCAGUAAGGAAUAUUGCGCAAUGGGCGAAAGCCUGACGCAGCGACGCCGCGUGGGGAUGAAGGUCUUCGGAUUGUAAACCCCUUUCGGGAGGGAAGAUGGAGCGAGCAAUCGUUCGGACGGUACCUCCAGAAGCAGCCACGGCCAACUCCGUGCCAGC
RNAcentral lists this ribosomal RNA (489 nucleotides) under uncultured bacterium. RNAcentral describes it as "bacterial SSU rRNA". It matches the Rfam family "Bacterial small subunit ribosomal RNA", at positions 29 to 512 of the family's 1533-position model. The record is from RNAcentral.